RNAcentral lists this ribosomal RNA (253 nucleotides) under uncultured bacterium. RNAcentral describes it as "partial 16S ribosomal RNA". It matches the Rfam family "Bacterial small subunit ribosomal RNA", at positions 524 to 776 of the family's 1533-position model. The record is from RNAcentral.
UACAGAGGGUGCAAGCGUUAAUCGGAAUGACUGGGCGUAAAGGGUGCGUAGGUGGUUGCUUAAGUUAGAUGUGAAAUCCCCGGGCUUAACCUGGGAACUGCAUUUAAUACUGAGCGACUAGAGUGUGGGAGAGGUAAGUGGAAUUUCCGGUGUAGCGGUGAAAUGCGUAGAUAUCGGAAGGAACACCAGUGGCGAAGGCGGCUUACUGGCCUAACACUGACACUGAGGCACGAAAGCGUGGGGAGCAAACAGG